CCCGUAUUGGCUUCACCUCUGGCCGGUUCCGUGUGUCCGCCGACUUCUCGGAGUGCAGUUAGUCGCUGAACAUGGGCCUUAUGACCGACCACAGCAGAGCGCAGAUCUCGGGCGUAACAGGGGGCGGCAACAUCAAGGCGUCUUGGUCCCAGUUCCGACGAACGCUGCUGUUUUGUUUAGUUCUGUUUUGUGUUUGUGUUUGUUUUAUUCCGUGUGUGAGUCGGCUGUGUUUAGCCACCACGAAGUCAGCCCUCGUUGAUUAACUGAAGUGACGACAGGUGUGCUGCUGUUUGCUCACGAGUGACUACGAAUUCAGUUCGGUUAUGGAGGCUAAUUCCUUAGCUUGUUGCACUGCGUGUCAUGAUUUGUCACCAUAAGCCUGCGUGAGUGAUUGUGAUGAUUACACUGUUUGCUGUGACAACUGAGUGCUGUGCAUUGUAGUGCUGUGUAUUCACGAGUGUCUCAUUCCCUGAAUAGCCACCAUACUGACUUUAGCGAACUCACUCUGGAGAGUACUACUGCUGUUUAGCGAAUCCACACUGGAGAACCAUACUGACUUUAGCGAACUCACUCUGGAGAGUACUACUGCUGUUUAGCGAAUCCACACUGGAGAAUAAUACUGACUUGAGCGAAC
Long non-coding RNA from Sardina pilchardus (European sardine), 634 nucleotides. RefSeq lists it as uncharacterized. The record is from RefSeq and is a predicted model, not a curated record. NCBI's taxonomy places the organism in Eukaryota, Metazoa, Chordata, Actinopteri, Clupeiformes, Clupeidae. The transcript has 3 exons.